CAGUCGCCGCGGUAAUACGAAGGGUGCAAGCGUUACUCGGAAUUACUGGGCGUAAAGCGUGCGUAGGUGGUGGUUUAAGUCCGUUGUGAAAGCCCUGGGCUCAACCUGGGAAUUGCAGUGGAUACUGGGUCACUAGAGUGUGGUAGAGGAUAGUGGAAUUUCCGGUGUAGCAGUGAAAUGCGUAGAGAUCGGAAGGAACAUCUGUGGCGAAGGCGACUAUCUGGGCCAACACUGACACUGAGGCACGAAAGCGUGGGGAGCAAACAGGAUUAGAGACCCCGGUAGUCCCUGUCUCUUAUAC
RNAcentral lists this ribosomal RNA (301 nucleotides) under uncultured bacterium. RNAcentral's name for it is "partial 16S ribosomal RNA". It matches the Rfam family "Bacterial small subunit ribosomal RNA", at positions 509 to 807 of the family's 1533-position model. The record is from RNAcentral.